RNAcentral lists this ribosomal RNA (497 nucleotides) under uncultured bacterium. RNAcentral's name for it is "partial 16S ribosomal RNA". It matches the Rfam family "Bacterial small subunit ribosomal RNA", at positions 28 to 507 of the family's 1533-position model. The record is from RNAcentral.
GAUGAACGCUGGCGGCGUGCCUAAUACAUGCAAGUCGAGCGAACAGACGCGGAGCUUUCUCCUCUGACCUUAGCGGCGGACGGGUGAGUAACACGUGGAUAACCUACCUAUAAGACUGGGAUAACUUCGUGCAACCGGCGCUAAUACCGGACAAUAUAUUGAACCGCAUGGUUCAAUAGUGAAAGACGGUUUUGCUAUCACUUAUAUAUGGUUCCGCGCCGCAUUAUCUAGUUGGUAAGGUAACGGCCUACCAAGGCAACGAUGCGUAGCCGACCUGACAGGGUGAUCGGCCACCCGGGAACUGAGACACGGCCCAGAGACCUAAGGGAGGAAACAGUAGGGAAUCUUCCGCAAGGGGGGAAAGAGGGACGGAGCAAAACCGCGGGAGGCAUGAUGGUCUACGGAUCGGAAAACGCUGUAAGUAGGGAAGAACAAAAGUGUAAGUAAAAAUGCACGUCAUGACGGUAACUAAUCAGAAAGCCACGGCUAACUACGUG